RNAcentral lists this ribosomal RNA (450 nucleotides) under uncultured bacterium. RNAcentral's name for it is "partial 16S ribosomal RNA". It matches the Rfam family "Bacterial small subunit ribosomal RNA", at positions 338 to 795 of the family's 1533-position model. The record is from RNAcentral.
CCUACGGGGGGCUGCAGUGAGGAAUAUUGGUCAAUGGGCGUAAGCCUGAACCAGCCAUCCCGCGUGAAGGAAGAAGGCGCUAUGCGUCGUAAACUUCUUUUCCAGAGGAAGAAAACCCCCGACGAGUCGGGGCUUGCCGGUACUUUGGGAAUAAGCAUCGGCUAACUCCGUGCCAGCAGCCGCGGUAAUACGGAGGAUGCGAGCGUUAUCCGGAUUUAUUGGGUCUAAGGGGUACUGAGGCGUCAGGAUUGAAAACCUUCAGCUUAACUGGAGAAUUGCCGGUGAUACUGUUAGUCUUGAGUACGGUCAAGGUAGGCGGAAUGUGUAAUGUAGCGGUGAAAUGCUUAGAUAUUACACAGAACACCGAUUGCGAAGGCAGCUUACUGGACCAAUACUGACGCUGAGGCACGAAAGCGUGGGGAGCGAACAGGAUUAGAUACCCGUGUAGUC